Molecule: ribosomal RNA, 253 nt
Filed under: uncultured bacterium
Lineage: Bacteria
Description: partial 16S ribosomal RNA
Rfam family: Bacterial small subunit ribosomal RNA
Source: RNAcentral
UACGUAGGGCGCAAGCGUUGUCCGGAAUUAUUGGGCGUAAAGAGCUCGUAGGCGGCUUGUCACGUCGGGUGUGAAAGCCCGGGGCUUAACCCCGGGUCUGCAUUCGAUACGGGCUAGCUAGAGUGUGGUAGGGGAGAUCGGAAUUCCUGGUGUAGCGGUGAAAUGCGCAGAUAUCAGGAGGAACACCGGUGGCGAAGGCGGAUCUCUGGGCCAUUACUGACGCUGAGGAGGGAAAGCGUGGGGAGCGAACAGG